Non-coding RNA from Cyanistes caeruleus (blue tit), 171 nucleotides. The record is from RefSeq and is a predicted model, not a curated record. NCBI's taxonomy places the organism in Eukaryota, Metazoa, Chordata, Aves, Passeriformes, Paridae.
GGUGUCGUGACAUGGGGUUCUAGGUGUCGGGUUUCGGGGUUCUAGGUAACCUGACUUGGGGUUCUAGGUGUCGGGUUUUGGGGUUCUAGGUAACCUGACUUGGGGUUCUAGGUGUCGGGUUUUGGGGUUCUAGGUAACCUGACUUGGGGUUCUAGGUGUCGGGUUUUGGGG